CCUACGGGAGGCAGCAGUGGGGAAUAUUGGACAAUGGGCGAAAGCCUGAUCCAGCAAUGCCGCGUGAGUGAUGAAGGCCUUAGGGUCGUAAAGCUCUUUUACCCGGGAUGAUAAUGACAGUACCGGGAGAAUAAGCCCCGGCUAACUCCGUGCCAGCAGCCGCGGUAAUACGGAGGGGGCUAGCGUUGUUCGGAAUUACUGGGCGUAAAGCGUGCGUAGGCGGUUAUUCAAGUCAGAGGUGAAAGCCCGGGGCUCAACCCCGGAACGGCCUUUGAAACUAGGUAGCUAGAAUCUUGGAGAGGUCAGUGGAAUUCCGAGUGUAGAGGUGAAAUUCGUAGAUAUUCGGAAGAACACCAGUGGCGAAGGCGACUGACUGGACAAGUAUUGACGCUGAGGCACGAAAGCGUGGGGAGCAAACAGGAUUAGAUACCCUGGUAGUCCACGCCGUAAACGAUGAUAACUAGCUGUUCGGGUACUUGGUAUCUGAGUGGCGCAGCUACGACAUUAAGUUAUCCGUCCGUCGGGUAGGUACGGUCGCGAGAAUUAAACUAACAAAUAGUAAGUUAGUACGGCGUGAGACGUGCCGAACGGACGACCGACGAGGGAGGUAGG
RNAcentral lists this ribosomal RNA (612 nucleotides) under uncultured bacterium. RNAcentral's name for it is "bacterial SSU rRNA". The stretch from base 1 to 518 matches the Rfam family "Bacterial small subunit ribosomal RNA", at positions 338 to 873 of the family's 1533-position model. The record is from RNAcentral.